This is a non-coding RNA of Odocoileus virginianus texanus, 928 nucleotides long. The record is from RefSeq and is a predicted model, not a curated record. NCBI's taxonomy places the organism in Eukaryota, Metazoa, Chordata, Mammalia, Artiodactyla, Cervidae.
CAUCCCUUCCAGGGUCUGGCCAGCACCAAGAAGUCUGCAGUAACCAGCCACACUCCAUCUGCUUUUAGUAUAAAAGGACUCUUGAGUUCUCACUCAGAUUACCAAACCCAGAGUGACACCUUUGGGCAGACUCGGAGUAGAGAACCAUCAUUCCUUCCUAAAGGGCUUUCCUCCUGGCCUUGAGAGAGCAGCAGGUCUGGUAAAAGAUGAGCAGCAACUGGAUUCUCUCUUCUCUGAUGCCCUGCACAGUGUUCUUUCUACCGUAUCACACUGGCUCUGAUGUCCUCUUUCAGCAUCUGCAGGAAAUUAUGUAGGUGGCUAUUGCUGUUGGACACUAUUGGAAGGCCCUGAUCUAAAGCUUUUGGUCAUUUACGACAUAUACUGGAAGCCAGACACCCCUCGGAGCUGUCCCACAGAGCAGCCCGCUUGUCCCACUCUCUGCGAGAUUUUGGAGUCGGCCAGUGGUGGAGUGGGAGUGAGGGAGAGGUGGCCUCAAGGCUUUGUCUCUCUGCCAAAUGGGCACACGGAAAAGUUUCUGCAGCCUGGUGACAGGGGAACAGAAGAGCAGCCCAUUUUCUACGUGAACCACACUUCUUCCUUUGGCCAGGAUCCCUUGGUUUAAACUCCUGCUACACCACGCUUCAGCAGCUCUGAACUCGCUUCAGUUAAGAAUGCUGCCUAUAGCCUGAAAUACGCCGGAGAGCCCAUUCUCAAGGUUCUGACCUUAAAGACAUAACACUUUGCCACUCCUAUAGAGGUAAAAGGUUGCAGAACAGAGAAUAACAUUUGUCUUGUUGGGGGUUUACAGGAACCUUGUGUCCUGACCUACGUGGACACUGCUGCACUUUUACCUCGUCAGCACUUCCUGCCGCAGCCGCCAGAGGGAGCCAGUCACAAGGGCAGCUUGGAGGGGCGGCCGCCGCCCACA